UUAGAGUAACUCUUUGUUAUUUGUAUCUGGUCACGUAGACAUAUGACUGCACAACUAAUUGAACCUACUGCUUUGUGCUGAUCUGGAAAUACCACUGAGAAGCGGGUGUCGACUGUUGGGGAGAUGCCAGUUCUUCUGCUUCUGAAACAUGCAGCAUAGUAUUUCGAAAGCUUCGCAAGUUUAAAUAAAAUAUACAGGAUGCUGGUUUCCCCAGGAUUAGCCAUGCUAUUUCUCCUGAGGUCUUCAAAUGCUGAAUUAUGUCCAGAAUUCUGCCUGUGUAAACCUGCUUCUCAGGGUAUGAUAAUUAACUGCAGCUCCAGAGGUCUACAAGAAUUACCAUUUAUUCCAGAAAAUACAACAGAGCUUUAUUUACACAACAACAUACUAACUACAGUUGCUCCAGGAGCCUUUGACAAAUUGCAGAAUCUGAAGGCCAUUAGCCUCCAUAACAACAUCUGGAACUGUGAUUGCCAUAUUGCAUACCUCAAACAGUGGCUGCAGAACCCACCAACAACAGUUCAAUCUAAUGUCACCUGUUCCACACCUAUUUCUGUUAGUAAGAAGCCUGUGGCAGAACUAAGAGGACAUGAAUAUUCAAAGUGUCAUUCCUAUAAUCAAUAUCAAUGCCGUGUUGUAUACUUCAAAAGCAUCGCUCUUUGUCUUCUCCUUCUGCUUCUCUUCCUUCUGAUGUUGUGCUCAUUCAUCAGUGUCAAAUCAAAAAUUUACAUGUUUAGUCCAAUUUUUGAACAUAAAGCAUCUGAUCCUUUAAUAGUGCAAAGAACGGCAACAAGAUGUGAACAGAAUAAGGGGAAUUGGGAGAUGUCAGAACUUUGAGUCUGGUAUUGAAUGGUCAAAUGAUGAGUUAAUAGAGAAACCUUUUGUCUGAGACAGUAUGGAAAUUUCGCAAGAUAUUAUGUAAACUGCAUGCAAAGCAUAACAUUAAAUUACACUGAAACAAUUGUUUUGA
Molecule: long non-coding RNA, 967 nt
Organism: Hemiscyllium ocellatum (epaulette shark)
Lineage: Eukaryota; Metazoa; Chordata; Chondrichthyes; Orectolobiformes; Hemiscylliidae
Exons: 2
Source: RefSeq, a predicted model, not a curated record